Molecule: ribosomal RNA, 33 nt
Filed under: Diaporthe ampelina
Lineage: Eukaryota; Fungi; Ascomycota; Sordariomycetes; Diaporthales; Diaporthaceae
Description: partial 18S ribosomal RNA
Source: RNAcentral
GUYUCCGUUGGUGAACCAGCGGAGGGAUCAUUG